AGUCCCAUUUUAGUACCUUUCAUUCGCAUCAUCAUGAAUGAACGGCUAUGCUAAUGGGAUAGAACAAACACUGUCAUGGUCUGAAGGUGUGGCUAGCUGACUCGGUCACUCACCAAAUAAAAUGACAGAACACUGCAAC
RNAcentral lists this small nucleolar RNA (139 nucleotides) under Anabas testudineus (climbing perch). RNAcentral's name for it is "Small nucleolar RNA SNORA29 (ENSATEG00000013746.2)". It matches the Rfam family "Small nucleolar RNA SNORA29". Rfam says of the family: ACA29 is a member of the H/ACA class of snoRNA that guide the sites of modification of uridines to pseudouridines. The record is from Rfam by way of RNAcentral. Lineage: Eukaryota; Metazoa; Chordata; Actinopteri; Anabantiformes; Anabantidae.